UACCUCCUCAAGAUCACACCUGGAGAGUUCCCAGUACUCUACCAGUCUUGACUAUAGGAGGGAGAGUCAAGCAGAGGCCUAUCCAUUCCAUUCCUAGCUUGGGUAGUGGCUGGUGAGUGGAAGGCAAUCUGCUACAAGU
RNAcentral lists this small nucleolar RNA (139 nucleotides) under Ornithorhynchus anatinus (platypus). The record is from RNAcentral. Lineage: Eukaryota; Metazoa; Chordata; Mammalia; Monotremata; Ornithorhynchidae.